GUCCAGAGUACAAUGAAAUUGGAAUUUAGGUCUAUAAAUUCCACCAGCACAGUUAUUCCUGAUCAUGUUGCAUGAGGUGGGCUAUUAUGUAGGAACACAGUCCCAUGUGCAGUGCUGAUAUUUCAGAGAGAAUAACCAUCGUUAAGGCAUUUGGCACUUUGGGAAUUGAGAGAACAUAGAGGUUCACUUUUUGCUUUAUCUGCUAGAGAAGAGUCACCACAUGACUAAAUUUGGUCCCAUUUGAAAUCUGUGCAAAUGUUCGCAUCCAUUCUUUUCUUGAUCUCAGACAUUUCUGCAUUAUUUUUAACCACAAUCCUAAAGCAUUAGAAGCAAACAAUGAUCUGUGUAAACAAAAUAAAGGAACUUGGUAAUUUUAUUAUAUUGUUUCAAUAAAGUUAAGGUAAAAUAAGAAGAAAAGUUGAUCUAAGGUGUAGAGUAUAGAAUGUAAAUAUUGAAGCACAUCUUGUGCUUGAUCACCAAAAUUAAGAAUAAAAAUUAGUUGGUUAAGUCAUAACUUAUUUUGCAUACAUACUUUAGAAUCUUUGAGAAGCGCUUUUAUGCACCAGAUCAUCCUAUAAUCCAGUAUUAUAUAAUCCAAUAUUAUAAUGCUAGAAUAAUCCAUUUUUGCUGGCUUCAGUAUAUUAUCUAUAGAUUAUUAAAGUUUUUAUACAACUAUGUGUUUCAAAAAUUGCAUGCAUAUGGCAAAUCCUGUUUUGAACUAGAUGUCAGUGUAGGUCUUGGGUAGUAUUAUUAAUAAUUUGGUAAUGAUGUCAGUGAGGAUGAACAGAAGAAAGAAAAUUCAGGUAAUUGGCCAAAAAAUAGUAAGGAUUUUGUAAUGCAACCCUGAAAAACAAAUAAAGUGGAAUAAUUUAAAAUGCACUAGAUUCUGAGGAAUUAAUCUUAUCUUUCCAGGUCUUCUCCAGAGUGCU
Phyllostomus discolor (pale spear-nosed bat) is the source of this 929-nucleotide long non-coding RNA. RefSeq lists it as uncharacterized. NCBI's taxonomy places the organism in Eukaryota, Metazoa, Chordata, Mammalia, Chiroptera, Phyllostomidae. The transcript is spliced from 2 exons. The record is from RefSeq and is a predicted model, not a curated record.